Molecule: transfer RNA, 75 nt
Filed under: Parcubacteria group bacterium CG11_big_fil_rev_8_21_14_0_20_39_14
Lineage: Bacteria
Description: tRNA-Arg
Rfam family: tRNA
About the family: Transfer RNA (tRNA) molecules are approximately 80 nucleotides in length. Their secondary structure includes four short double-helical elements and three loops (D, anti-codon, and T loops).
Source: RNAcentral
GCCCUUGUAGUUCAACGGACAGAAUACAAGCUUCCGGAGCCUGGGAUAGGGGUUCGAUUCCUCUCAAGGGCACCA